CCUAACACAUGCAAGUCGAACGGAAAGGCCCUGCUUUUGUGGGGUGCUCGAGUGGCGAACGGGUGAGUAACACGUGAGUAACCUGCCCUUGACUUUGGGAUAACUUCAGGAAACUGGGGCUAAUACCGGAUAGGAGCUCCUGCUGCAUGGUGGGGGUUGGAAAGUUUCGGCGGUUGGGGAUGGACUCGCGGCUUAUCAGCUUGUUGGUGGGGUAGUGGCUUACCAAGGCUUUGACGGGUAGCCGGCCUGAGAGGGUGACCGGCCACAUUGGGACUGAGAUACGGCCCAGACUCCUACGGGAGGCAGCAGUGGGGAAUAUUGCACAAUGGGCGGAAGCCUGAUGCAGCAACGCCGCGUGCGGGAUGACGGCCUUCGGGUUGUAAACCGCUUUCGCCUGUGACGAAGCGUGAGUGACGGUAAUGGGUAAAGAAGCACCGGCUAACUACGUGCCAGCAGCCGCGGUGAUACGUAGGGUGCGAGCGUUGUCCGGAUUUAUUGGGCGUA
This 504-nucleotide ribosomal RNA is filed under the name uncultured bacterium. RNAcentral's name for it is "bacterial SSU rRNA". It matches the Rfam family "Bacterial small subunit ribosomal RNA", at positions 47 to 562 of the family's 1533-position model. The record is from RNAcentral.